AGCGCGGGUGCGAGUCGGAGGGUGCAAGCCCGUGGGCGAAGUGAAAGCGAGUUUAAAAACGAGCAGUUUGGGGCGGCAUAAGAUCGUUGAUCUUAAGACCGACCCAGAGCAGUUGCGCUGGGACCCGAAAGAUGGUGAACUAUGCCGGAGUAGGGCAAAGCCAGAGGAAACUCUGGUGGAGGCUCGUAGCGGUGCUGACGUGCAAAUCGCUCGUCGAACUUGGGUAUAGGGGCGAAAGACUAAUCGAACCAUCUAGUAGCUGGUUCCCUCCGAAGUUUCUCUCAGGAUAGCGGGCCGACAAGUUGUUUUGUGCGGUAAAGCGAAUGAUUAGCGCAAUCGGGGGCGUUUAGCCUUUGGGCGAUUCUCAAACUUUCAAUGCGCAAGGGUGCCGCUGCUUAAUUGAGCGGUACCGGUAAAAACGUCGGCCCUGUGGGCCACUUUUGGUAAGCAGAACUGGCGAUACGGGAUGAACCGUAAGCAAGGUUAAGGCGCCAAACUGCCCGCUUAUAGACCCCACAAAAGGUGUUGAUUCAUCGAGACAGCAGGACGGUGGCCAUGGAAGUCGGAAUCCGCCAAGGAGUGUGUAACAACUCACCUGCCGAAUGAAUUAGCCCUGAAAAUGGAUGGCGCUGAAGCGGGCGGCCGACACCUUGCCGUCUGAACAAGAAUUUCAGAUGAGUAGGAGGGCGUGGCGGCCGUGUCGAAGCGCGCGUGCAGACGCGUGUGGAACGGCCGCUAGUGCAGAUCUUGGUGGUAGUAGCAAGUAUUCAAGCGAGAUCCUUGAAGGGCGAAGUGGGGAAGGGUUUCACGCGAACAUUGAUUGGGCGUGAGUGAGUCGUUCCUAAGCCGAGUGGCAAUUGCUAAUUAACGGCGAAAGGGAAGCGGGUUGACAUUCCCGCACACGGAUGUGGAGGCGGCGACGCAUUAUUGGGGCGAACACGCUGGCGAUGGCGCUGGGCAGAGUUGUCUUUUCUGUUUGACCGCUUGCGCACGCAGUGUGGAAUCCGCUUGUCGGGAGAAACACGCGUGUACGGGCAGAGCGCUGGGGCUUUUCCAGCGUCCAGCUCGCCAUCGACGGCCCUUGAAACUUUGCCUGCUG
RNAcentral lists this ribosomal RNA (1099 nucleotides) under Asterfilopsis sp. RNAcentral describes it as "eukaryotic LSU rRNA". It matches the Rfam family "Eukaryotic large subunit ribosomal RNA", at positions 677 to 1828 of the family's 3401-position model. RNAcentral also lists the same sequence under 1 other name. Lineage: Eukaryota; Rhodophyta; Florideophyceae; Gigartinales; Phyllophoraceae. The record is from RNAcentral.